GACAGAGGGUGCAAACGUUGCUCGGAAUCACUGGGCGUAAAGGGCGCGUAGGCGGGAAUGUAAGUCGGGCGUGAAAUCCCCAGGCUCAACCUGGGAACUGCACUCGAAACUGCGUUUCUUGAGUAUCGGAGAGGAAAGCGGAAUUCCUGGUGUAGAGGUGAAAUUCGUAGAUAUCAGGAGGAACACCAGUGGCGGAAGGGCGGC
This 204-nucleotide ribosomal RNA is filed under the name uncultured bacterium. Its description in RNAcentral is "partial 16S ribosomal RNA". It matches the Rfam family "Bacterial small subunit ribosomal RNA", at positions 524 to 725 of the family's 1533-position model. The record is from RNAcentral.